AAAAAGAAACGUUUGAGGCUUGUAAAAAAAACCUCAGCAUGUGAGGCAAAGCUAAAGGAAACCUCAACAAAAGGAAACCCCCAGGAUUGGACUCCCCUCGGAGCUAGCAACCUGCUAUCCCUCAGUCGCGGUGGAUCAUCUCCUGCAAAACGAUUCCCGGACUUAGGAUCUCAUUCGCUUGGAACGAGCCCCAAAGACGCACAUCUAUUACCCUUCAGGUGAGAUCAUGGGAAGCAAGCUUUCACAUGAGCAGGAAAAGCAUAGGAAUAAUUUGUUAUUUUUGCUAGCUCAGGCAGGGCAUGAUAAGCAUUUAGCACCCCUAGUAGAAAAUGUGUUGUUAGAAAUUGCUACACUGUGCCCCUGGUUUCCAGAGGGGGGUACUUAUGAUAUUAAGAAAAGGAAAGAGGUGGGAGAUGCACUCCAUAGACAUCCUGAGGCAUUUGUACAAGUCUUGCACACCUGGCAUUUGUGUAGAGAUGCAGUUGGAAAGCUCUCUAACCCUUUACUGCAGCCACCAGCUGUCUCUAUGAAUGUUCCCAUAUUGUUGCAACCCCUAGCUGCUUUUAGAAAUACCAUAAUAUUGUUACCUCCAUCUCAGCCUCUAGAUUUCCAGCCUCUCUCCUCUGAGGCCAUGCCAAAGGUAAUUCCAUUGGCACCUUCCUUUGCCAAAAAUGUGCCUGGGUCGAAUGUAAAUUCCAUGCCACCUUCGGUGGACCAAUGCCCGCAAGGGGCUCAGAUCACAGUGCAAAAAUUGGUUAUUCCAAAUAUGGCAGAAGGAAGCAGUGAAGAAAAAACAGCUGACACCUUACCAUUAUUAGCAGUCUAUCUUGUUGUUCAGAAUGCACAGGAACAGAGAGCCCAUGAAUCAUUGCCCUUCACAGUUUUUAAACAAUUGAAGCGAAGUGUGACAGAAAAUGGCUUGCAAGGCAUUCUUGAUGGGCUAAGAGGAGCCAGUACUUUAAUUCCAAACCUUGAAGCCUCUGAAGUCUUAAUGAAACAAUUGGCUUAUGAAAAUGAAAAUUCUGAUUGCAAGACUGCUCUUAAAGUGAUGUAUCAGAAGCCAGAAACAGAGAUUGUUCAAAUGAUUAAGCCUUGCCAGAAUAUUGACACCGAGACUCAUAAAUCUGCCCUCCUAGCAGCAGCUUUGUCUCCUUCAGUGCAUCCUGCUAAGGACAGGCAAUGCCACAAUGGAUGGCCUUCCAGCCUGGGUUUGAAUGGGAGAACAAAGAAUGUUGUGCCAGCUGAUUGUCAGUCUUUUACUGAAGCUAAAUUAGAAGCAAUAGCUGGCUCUACUAACACAGUAGCUUUUAACACACAGUCUCCUGUGACAAAUCUGCGCCAUGCCACUAAGGCAGUGCUGGUUUGA
This 1366-nucleotide long non-coding RNA is filed under the name Podarcis muralis (Common wall lizard). RNAcentral describes it as "lncRNA (ENSPMRG00000009050.1)". Lineage: Eukaryota; Metazoa; Chordata; Lepidosauria; Squamata; Lacertidae. The record is from RNAcentral.